This 1441-nucleotide ribosomal RNA is filed under the name uncultured organism. Its description in RNAcentral is "partial small subunit ribosomal RNA". It matches the Rfam family "Bacterial small subunit ribosomal RNA". The record is from RNAcentral.
GCGGCGUGCUUAACACAUGCAAGUCGAACGGAAAGGCCCUGCUUUUGUGGGGUGCUCGAGUGGCGAACGGGUGAGUAACACGUGAGUAACCUGCCCUUGACUUUGGGAUAACUUCAGGAAACUGGGGCUAAUACCGGAUAGGAGCUCCUGCUGCAUGGUGGGGGUUGGAAAGUUUCGGCGGUUGGGGAUGGACUCGCGGCUUAUCAGCUUGUUGGUGGGGUAGUGGCUUACCAAGGCUUUGACGGGUAGCCGGCCUGAGAGGGUGACCGGCCACAUUGGGACUGAGAUACGGCCCAGACUCCUACGGGAGGCAGCAGUGGGGAAUAUUGCACAAUGGGCGGAAGCCUGAUGCAGCAACGCCGCGUGCGGGAUGACGGCCUUCGGGUUGUAAACCGCUUUCGCCUGUGACGAAGCGUGAGUGACGGUAAUGGGUAAAGAAGCACCGGCUAACUACGUGCCAGCAGCCGCGGUGAUACGUAGGGUGCGAGCGUUGUCCGGAUUUAUUGGGCGUAAAGGGCUCGUAGGUGGUUGAUCGCGUCGGAAGUGUAAUCUUGGGGCUUAACCCUGAGCGUGCUUUCGAUACGGGUUGACUUGAGGAAGGUAGGGGAGAAUGGAAUUCCUGGUGGAGCGGUGGAAUGCGCAGAUAUCAGGAGGAACACCAGUGGCGAAGGCGGUUCUCUGGGCCUUUCCUGACGCUGAGGAGCGAAAGCGUGGGGAGCGAACAGGCUUAGAUACCCUGGUAGUCCACGCUGUAAACGGUGGGUACUAGGUGUGGGGUCCAUUCCACGGGUUCCGUGCCGUAGCUAACGCUUUAAGUACCCCGCCUGGGGAGUACGGCCGCAAGGCUAAAACUCAAAGGAAUUGACGGGGCCCCGCACAAGCGGCGGAGCAUGCGGAUUAAUUCGAUGCAACGCGUAGAACCUUACCUGGGUUUGACAUGGAUCGGGAGUGCUCAGAGAUGGGUGUGCCUCUUUUGGGGUCGGUUCACAGGUGGUGCAUGGCUGUCGUCAGCUCGUGUCGUGAGAUGUUGGGUUAAGUCCCGCAACGAGCGCAACCCUUGUUCACUGUUGCCAGCACGUUAUGGUGGGGACUCAGUGGAGACCGCCGGGGUCAACUCGGAGGAAGGUGGGGAUGACGUCAAGUCAUCAUGCCCCUUAUGUCCAGGGCUUCACGCAUGCUACAAUGGCUGGUACAGAGAGUGGCGAGCCUGUGAGGGUGAGCGAAUCUCGGAAAGCCGGUCUCAGUUCGGAUUGGGGUCUGCAACUCGACCUCAUGAAGUCGGAGUCGCUAGUAAUCGCAGAUCAGCAACGCUGCGGUGAAUACGUUCCCGGGGCUUGUACACACCGCCCGUCAAGUCAUGAAAGUUGGUAACACCCGAAGCCGGUGGCCUAACCGUUGUGGGGGAGCCGUCGAAGGUGGGACUGGUGAUUAGGACUAAAUC